Molecule: long non-coding RNA, 2089 nt
Organism: Corapipo altera (White-ruffed manakin)
Lineage: Eukaryota; Metazoa; Chordata; Aves; Passeriformes; Pipridae
Exons: 4
Source: RefSeq, a predicted model, not a curated record
AGGAGAACAAAGUACUCAAUAUCCAUCUAAGUGACAGCAAAGCAAGAAAAAGUAACAGCCUGCCUGAAAGGUGUAAACAUCUGAGAGGAAAAGGAAUAACUUAGCAGGGACAAAACUGUUUCCAAUGAUGCCCAGCAUUAGAGGGUGUCCACAGGACUGCCAGUCUCAUCCAGUGAGGAAUAUUUCAGCUUAAGGAAGAGAAGGAGAACUUUAAAAGGACAUUUCCUGGAAUAUGCAUGCCACAGAAAGAUACUAAUUAAUUUUGCCCUGCCUUUCAAGCAUGAAGAUUUCAUUGCAGAAACAUCAACAAGUCAAUAAUCAAGCACAGAGAAUCUACUGUGCUAGGUGCUGGGGAUGGAUACUGUGAUGAAAGUUUUUCAGAAGGCAAAAAGAAAGUGUAAAGAAAAAGAGAUGAACUGCCAUCUGCUAUUAGGUAGCCACCAACGGUGAAGAUGUUCCAAAAUACAUUUCACUUGCACAAGAAAGAAGAGCAUUGAGCUAAAAAUGUUAGAUCAGCACAUCUGGACCUCAGUGGCUUGGUCCAAUAUCCCAUAAAUUUAAGGAUAGGUAUGAAAAACUCAGAACCUCUUCUUCUAUCCCACUAUAUAAUAAGGAAUCUCUAGUUAAACAUUAAUCAGCAGAAGAUGCUUUUUCCAUACCAGCUCUCACUAUUAAUGACUCCUGCACUGUUUAUGAACCUUAGUGGGAGAACGCUCUGCUUUCAUUGGUACCACUAAGGAGUGUAUAUGUGUCCAGGUAGUGAGGAGAGACCACUGCCCCACUGUCGUAAUGGAACACAUGAUCUGGAGUGAAGUACUAUCCCAAAAGACUGGCAGAAACAGCAGAUGAAUUCUAGGACAAAAAUGAAGCUAGAAUGUUCUGAUACCACCCAGAUAUAGACAAUGCUGCUACCAAAGAUUUAGAGGCAUGGAAAAGAAAAUGAAAACCCUAUGUUUAUUUAUUCUAUACUUUCUUAUAUUUCAUAACUAUUACGUUCUUCUGUCACCAGCUAUUAAACUCUUAGGAAACCUAGGCCCUGAGUAGUGCAGCUCAAAAUCAUGUAUCCUGGAACUUGGCUUCUAUGAGCAAAGGAUACUAAUUUAGAGUACCUAAAUCUUCCUUAACCUUUUAUUAAUAUCCAAACCUCUACCUUCAGCCUUAUAGAUUUUCUUAAAACCUCAGUUUAGAACAGAGUUGAUUUUAACUCUUCUUCUAACAGAUCAAUAGCUGUCCUUUCCUACCUGGAAAGAUAGUCUUUUAUACACCUCUCAAGAAUGAGCCUUCUCCUAUAAGACAAGAAACAAGACCCGUUAAACAAGACUCCUAAUUUCUCUGUAUGAGACAAGUGUUAAUAUGAGAAAAGUUUUAUUUUUUUCUAAAAGAGAGACCCAAGUGUCAGGUGAAGGAAUUUUUGGAUACUGAAACUACAUUACUAUGUAAACAUAAAGAUUAGGAGUCAUAACUCUACAACCACAAAAGGGGAUUUCUCUAUGAUGUUAAACAUCAGUCUAAUUAGAUAUGGAAACAACAAGUUACUUUGCAUAAGCAAGGCAGACCUUGCAGUUCAAGAGUGCCAUAAUACUGAGUUAAAAGUUCCUGUUCAAAAUCAGUCAGAACAGGUAUUUAAAAAUAGGUACAACUAAUAAAUUGAAUUAGUCUUCUUAUUGUUUAAUAAGAAAAAAAGAUGCUUUGUCAGAAAUGCACUUAUUAUCAGACUUUCUGUCCAAAAACUUUGAGUUAAGGUUCUGUCUUAAUAUUAGAUAAAAUUCUAGAAAUAGGAAACAAAUCAGACACCUGUUUUAGUGCCAAGAAAGAUAUUCACUAACUCUAAAAUAUGAAAGACUCAUAGAAGCUAGUGAGCUACAUACUGUAGCUGUCUUAUCUGACCAGCACUGUAACAUAGUCUGCAAAAUGUGUUUUCACCUUCUUAGACAUCAAUUUUUCUAUAUAAGAUUUCAGUGGGGUCCUUAAAUUGUAAAUAUCUCCAGCAUUUAAUUACAUGUACUACUGAUUACAAAUUUGAUAAGGUUUCAAUACUCAGCUGCAAAAUCUAUUUUUUAUCUAGGGAGAUGAAAGGCAUCUUCUUCCU